UUGGAUGGAACUGUCUGAUUCAGAGCU
This 27-nucleotide non-coding RNA is filed under the name Homo sapiens (human). The record is from RNAcentral. Lineage: Eukaryota; Metazoa; Chordata; Mammalia; Primates; Hominidae.